Molecule: ribosomal RNA, 1435 nt
Filed under: uncultured organism
Description: partial small subunit ribosomal RNA
Rfam family: Bacterial small subunit ribosomal RNA
Source: RNAcentral
GCGGCGUGCUUAACACAUGCAAGUCGAACGGAAAGGCCCUGCUUUUGUGGGGUGCUCGAGUGGCGAACGGGUGAGUAACACGUGAGUAACCUGCCCUUGACUUUGGGAUAACUUCAGGAAACUGGGGCUAAUACCGGAUAGGAGCUCCUGCUGCAUGGUGGGGGUUGGAAAGUUUCGGCGGUUGGGGAUGGACUCGCGGCUUAUCAGCUUGUUGGUGGGGUAGUGGCUUACCAAGGCUUUGACGGGUAGCCGGCCUGAGAGGGUGACCGGCCACAUUGGGACUGAGAUACGGCCCAGACUCCUACGGGAGGCAGCAGUGGGGAAUAUUGCACAAUGGGCGGAAGCCUGAUGCAGCAACGCCGCGUGCGGGAUGACGGCCUUCGGGUUGUAAACCGCUUUCGCCUGUGACGAAGCGUGAGUGACGGUAAUGGGUAAAGAAGCACCGGCUAACUACGUGCCAGCAGCCGCGGUGAUACGUAGGGUGCGAGCGUUGUCCGGAUUUAUUGGGCGUAAAGGGCUCGUAGGUGGUUGAUCACGUCGGAAGUGUAAUCUUGGGGCUUAACCCUGAGCGUGCUUUCGAUACGGGUUGACUUGAGGAAGGUAGGGGAGAAUGGAAUUCCUGGUGGAGCGGUGGAAUGCGCAGAUAUCAGGAGGAACACCAGUGGCGAAGGCGGUUCUCUGGGCCUUUCCUGACGCUGAGGAGCGAAAGCGUGGGGAGCGAACAGGCUUAGAUACCCUGGUAGUCCACGCUGUAAACGGUGGGUACUAGGUGUGGGGUCCAUUCCACGGGUUCCGUGCCGUAGCUAACGCUUUAAGUACCCCGCCUGGGGAGUACGGCCGCAAGGCUAAAACUCAAAGGAAUUGACGGGGCCCCGCACAAGCGGCGGAGCAUGCGGAUUAAUUCGAUGCAACGCGUAGAACCUUACCUGGGUUUGACAUGGAUCGGGAGUGCUCAGAGAUGGGUGUGCCUCUUUUGGGGUCGGUUCACAGGUGGUGCAUGGCUGUCGUCAGCUCGUGUCGUGAGAUGUUGGGUUAAGUCCCGCAACGAGCGCAACCCUUGUUCACUGUUGCCAGCACGUUAUGGUGGGGACUCAGUGGAGACCGCCGGGGUCAACUCGGAGGAAGGUGGGGAUGACGUCAAGUCAUCAUGCCCCUUAUGUCCAGGGCUUCACGCAUGCUACAAUGGCUGGUACAGAGAGUGGCGAGCCUGUGAGGGUGAGCGAAUCUCGGAAAGCCGGUCUCAGUUCGGAUUGGGGUCUGCAACUCGACCUCAUGAAGUCGGAGUCGCUAGUAAUCGCAGAUCAGCAACGCUGCGGUGAAUACGUUCCCGGGGCUUGUACACACCGCCCGUCAAGUCAUGAAAGUUGGUAACACCCGAAGCCGGUGGCCUAACCGUUGUGGGGGAGCCGUCGAAGGUGGGACUGGUGAUUAGGAC